GCAAGUCGGACGGCAGCACAGAGAAGCUUGCUUCUUGGGUGGCGAGUGGCGAACGGGUGAGUAACAUAUCGGAACGUACCGAGUAAUGGGGGAUAACUAAUCGAAAGAUUAGCUAAUACCGCAUAUUCUCUGAGGAGGAAUGCAGGGGACCUUCGGUCCUUGCGUUAUUCGAGCGGCCGAUAUCUGAUUAGCUAGUUGGUGGGGUAAAGGCCGACAAAGGCGACGAGGAGUAGCGGGUCGGAGAGGAUGAUC
This 252-nucleotide ribosomal RNA is filed under the name uncultured bacterium. Its description in RNAcentral is "partial 16S ribosomal RNA". It matches the Rfam family "Bacterial small subunit ribosomal RNA", at positions 57 to 305 of the family's 1533-position model. The record is from RNAcentral.